AUUCCGAAGAAAGAAAUCUGCAUCACUUUCAGUUCACAGCUUGGUCAAACAAGGACACUCCUGAUGACAUCACAUCAAUUACAGAAUUUAGACAAAGAGUGAACGCCUUUUCGACUACCUUUGACGGACCAGUGAUAGUACAUUGCAGUGCUGGUGUAGGCAGAACCGGAACCUACAUAGCUCUGGACAUUCUGACUAACGAGGGUGAGGCAGAAGGAGCUAUAGAUAUCCCGGGAUGUGUUCUCAACAUGAGACAGAACAGGCCCAGCAUGAUUCAGACUUUGAGUCAAUACAAGUACCUACACCAGGCAUUGG
Long non-coding RNA from Mya arenaria, 315 nucleotides. RefSeq lists it as uncharacterized. The transcript has 3 exons. NCBI's taxonomy places the organism in Eukaryota, Metazoa, Mollusca, Bivalvia, Myida, Myidae. The record is from RefSeq and is a predicted model, not a curated record.